Molecule: ribosomal RNA, 253 nt
Filed under: uncultured bacterium
Lineage: Bacteria
Description: partial 16S ribosomal RNA
Rfam family: Bacterial small subunit ribosomal RNA
Source: RNAcentral
UACAGAGGGUGCGAGCGUUAAUCGGAAUUACUGGGCGUAAAGAGCGCGCAGGCGGUCGAUCAAGUCGAGUGUGAAAGCCCCCGGCUCAACUGGGGAGGGUCAUUCGAUACUGAUCGACUCGAAGGCAGGAGAGGGUAGUGGAAUUCCCGGUGUAGUGGUGAAAUGCGGAGAUAUCGGGAGGAACACCAGGGGCGAAGGCGACUACCUGGCCUGUUCUUGACGCUGAGGCGCGAAAGCUAGGGGAGCAAACGGG